Long non-coding RNA from Piliocolobus tephrosceles (Ugandan red Colobus), 1221 nucleotides. RefSeq lists it as uncharacterized. Lineage: Eukaryota; Metazoa; Chordata; Mammalia; Primates; Cercopithecidae. The record is from RefSeq and is a predicted model, not a curated record. The transcript is spliced from 8 exons.
GCCAAGGUGCUGCUAUGCAGGUGUGAGUCCAGGUCCUAAGACUGCUCUUUCUGUAAUCCCCCCUUCUUUGGCUCCCUGGCACUGCCUGGUCCUGGGGUGCCUCUGGACCCUCUGUUCCUCCUUCUAGCAGGGUCCUGCUCAUCAACAGUCAUGGACAACUGACCUGAUCACUAAAACCCACAACAGCAGGAAUUAUAGCUGGUAUAUAUUCAGCUUCCCAGAGAUCCUGAGUCCUUAAUUCCCCUCAGCACUGUUUGAGGUGAGCAACUACAACUACACAAGACAAAGACGAAAGACUUUUUCAGCUCAAAAAUCCUGUGAUUCUUUGAUUCUAAGAAGAGAUUUUCUGACAAGGAGUUUGCCUAAGGUGCUCACUGUGCUGUGAUGGUUUGAAUGCAGGCUUGGCCUCCUCUCCAACCUGUGACUACCAGGAAGAUAGCACACCUGUCCUAUUCACCUUUGUAUCUCUGGUGUCUCACUCAGGAUUGGGCACAGUGCUUGCCAAGGACCUGCUAUGUGCCAGGUGCUGCUGGAGCUGGGAACCUAACGAUCACAGUGUCUGCCUCUGCCAGCCUUUGUGUGUGUGGCAGGGGUGGUUUUGAGUCCCACCAUCUUCCAUCCCUGAUGCUUGGAGAACCUGAGGACACACAAGAGAGUCCUGGUGGACCUGAGAUUUGGGGAAGAUGCAGACACACCGAACCCUAGUGUUGUUUACCUCUGGGGAUGCUAUUGGAGUAACAAAGCUUAGGCCUUCCCUGGCCUGUCCAGGAAUCGUGUCCAUUCUCAACUAUGAAUCCUGGAGAUUCCACCUCCUUCUAGUCUCCAGACAAUUCAACCCAGGACUGUUAUCAGACUCCAUGGACUCUCUGAGGAAAUGCUGCUUCAGAUGGAGGAGGAAGGACCUCUGGUGCCAGCUGGUUUUGCAGCUAUGACCUCUAAUCACGUGCUUAAAAUCCGUCUGUCAAAGAACAUGGGGUUGCAUUACAAACAUCAAAAACUAUUUGAGUAUCCGUCACAUACAAGGCCCUUGGGAAGAGUAAACGCACAGGAUUUGUAACGAGACUCAGUUACAGUUGCAGUAAAGUUCUGUUCCAGUGAUCUAUUGCUGCAUAGUAAACUACCCCGCAUGGAUUAGUCUGUUCUCAUUCUGCUAUGAAGACAUACUCUAGACUGGGUAAUUUAUAAGGGAAAGAGGUUUAACGGGCUCACAGUUCCACAUGG